This 466-nucleotide ribosomal RNA is filed under the name uncultured bacterium. Its description in RNAcentral is "partial 16S ribosomal RNA". It matches the Rfam family "Bacterial small subunit ribosomal RNA", at positions 28 to 507 of the family's 1533-position model. The record is from RNAcentral.
GAUGAACGCUGGCGGCGUGCUUAACACAUGCAAGUCGAACGGAAAGGCUCCUGCUUGCAGGGGUACUCGAGUGGCGAACGGGUGAGUAACACGUGGGUGAUCUGCCCUGCACUUCGGGAUAAGCCUGGGAAACUGGGUCUAAUACCGGAUAGGACGAUGGUUUGGAUGCCAUUGUGGAAAGUUUUUUCGGUGUGGGAUGAGCUCGCGGCCUAUCAGCUUGUUGGUGGGGUAAUGGCCUACCAAGGCGUCGACGGGUAGCCGGCCUGAGAGGGUGUACGGCCACAUUGAGACUGAGAUACGGCCCAGACUCCUACGGGAGGCAGCAGUGGGGAAUAUUGCACAAUGGGCGCAAGCCUGAUGCAGCGACGCCGCGUGGGGGAUGACGGCCUUCGGGUUGUAAACUCCUUUCGCUAGGGACGAAGCGCAAGUGACGGUACCUGGAGAAGAAGCACCGGCUAACUACGUG